This 45-nucleotide non-coding RNA is filed under the name Schistosoma curassoni. The record is from RNAcentral. Lineage: Eukaryota; Metazoa; Platyhelminthes; Trematoda; Strigeidida; Schistosomatidae.
AUCCAGCUGACGAGUCCCAAAUAGGAGAGAACACACGUCCUGGAU